GAUGAAGAACGCAGCGAAAUGCGAUAAGUAAUGUGAAUUGGAGAAUUCAGUGAAUCAUCGAAUCUUUGAACGCACAUUGCGCCCGCCAGUAUUCUGGCGGGCAUGCCUGUUCGAGCGUCAUUUCAACCAUCAAGCCCUGCUUGCGUUGGGGUCCUGCGGCUGCCCGCAGGCCCUGAAAACCAGUGGCGGGCUCGCUAGUCACACCGAGCGCAGUAAUACAUCUCGCUUUGGGCGUGCGGCGGGUUCUUGCCGUUAAACACCCCCUUUUUACCAAGGUUGACCUCGGAUCAGGUAGGAAUACCCGCUGAACUUAAGCAUAUCAAUAAGCGGAGGA
This 334-nucleotide unclassified non-coding RNA is filed under the name soil metagenome. RNAcentral's name for it is "partial contains 5.8S ribosomal RNA, internal transcribed spacer 2, and large subunit ribosomal RNA". The stretch from base 1 to 120 matches the Rfam family "5.8S ribosomal RNA", at positions 35 to 154 of the family's 154-position model. The record is from RNAcentral.